UCUCCCCAGGUUAGUUCUAAACAAACAAGGCGAGCGCCUCUCCCUUGUGGUGAGGGAGGGCCUGGGGCAGAGUGCUUGCAUGCGUUCCAUCAGCUGGCCUCAUCAGCUGGGCUGAUGUUCCCUGCUGCAGCUCUGACCUGUGGCCACUCCCCACCACUGUGACCUCUUUGUCAAGGCCAAAAGCAAGAAACAAGUCCUGUUGUUCUCUUCUCACAGAGCAGAUGUGAAACACUGCAUCCCAAUGAUUGCGUCUAAGGUACCAGGCCAGCUGCCCCAGGUGCUGAACAUAGAGAUGACUGGCAACUUCUGCAUGUCAUCUUAUUCCACCCAAAAGGCAGAGUUACAGAGAGAGGAAGAGACAAAGAGCAGGAGAUCUUCCAUCUGCUGGUUCACUCCCCAACUGGCCACAGUAGCCAUGGCUGGGCCCUACCAAAGCCAGGGGCUUGGAACUUUAUCUGUGUCUCCCAUGUGGACUUCAGGAGCCCAAGCACUUGGGCCAUCUUCCACUGCUUUCCCAGGCCAUUAGCAGGGAGCUCGAUCAGAAGUGGAGCAGCUGGGACUUGAACUGGAGCUCAUAUGGCAUGCUGGCAUCAAAGGUGGCAGCUCAACCUGCUGUACCACAAGGCUGGCCCCUGGCUGAGCAGUAUUAAGAGCCAGGCCACAUCCAUGGUAAAAUGGGGAAGGGAUACAAUCGCUGGGUACUCCGUGAGUUGGUGUUUGUAAAGCGUUUGGUGAACAUCGACUCCUGCUUUUAGGCAGGGAGAAGAAAGAGGCAAGACUGAAGAUUGGUCCUGCAUCCAAACAAGAGGUAAAUUUCCUCCAGCCCUUCCUCUGCUUUGGGAAAAGGAAAAAUAGAAAUAGUACAGAAAAUAUGGAUAAUUUCACUAUAUAAAAAUGUUUCUACAUAUUAAAGAUUUUAGAUAUUUCAAUUAUGGUUUUGACUCAGUUGUAAUGACUUCCUAGUAACAGCUUUCCUACAUAAAUAAGAUAAUAAAAAUGGAAAAAAAGAAAAAGGAAAGAAGCCAUGGGGGUUCUUUGUAGCUAUUUGUGUCUCCUUGUAAAUGCCCAGAGCCUAAAACAGACCUCUACUGUGGAUGCUGACAACAACUCAAUACUCUGCAACCUCUGACAAAUACAAAUGCAGAAAAAAGCAGCGAAGAGGCCAGGACAGCGAAAGUAGUCGUGGGCAUAGAACCAACAAGAAGGCACGGCGGGAGCUGACGGCGGCCUGGCAGGCAAGACACCGGUGAGCAAGCGCAGAGUUCCUGGGUUCAGUGUCUCACCCCAGCUCCCUGCCCAUGCAGGCCCUGUGAGGCCACAGCUACGGCUCCAGUCAUGGGCUUCCUGCCAUCCUUGUGCGAGACCUGGGCUGAGUUCCAGGCUGCCAGCCGUGGCCCAGCCCAGUUCCAGCUGUUAUGGGCAUUUGGGGAGUGACCCUGGCUGAUGGGAGCUCUCUCUGUCUCUGUCUCCCAAGUAAAUGCAUUAAAAUAAUAAUAAUAAUAAUAAUAAUAAAGAAAGAAAGAAAGAAAGAAAAGAAGAAAUCAGUUCACAAGUGACUUAGCAUCUAGGAGAACUCACUGCCCGUCCGGAAUAAUUUCUCACCAUCUUUAGAGAAGUCUGGCCAGGAAGGAGUAAGAAAUGAAAGUCCUCGAGGGCAGGCUGGGGACAAGGACUCCUUGAGGGAGCACUGAGCCUGGCCAGCUCUGUCUAGUUUUAUGAUCUCAUGAAACACGAACUCCAAGGAGGUGCAGUCCGGAGCGGUUAAUGAAAUGCUGAUUGGGAAAAUGAAAGGACAAAGCCUGAAGAAGUGCCAUAACUCAUUCAGCGGUGCCGUUCCUCCCCCUCCCCCGACUGGUGGCUGAGUCAUCGCCAAAGACAGCACAGCCCUUGAGCUGUGGCUGGAAAUAAAGAGCCAAGAUUAGCUUCGGCGCAGAGACCUGGGGCACUGGACACGGGGCAGAACUUUCGAAGCAUUCGAUGAAAGCCAAACCAGACUCAAGAAAGCCAAGAGAUAAGAAGGGAGUGGAGGGAAUUGGGGGGGGGGGCUCUCCCUGCCACCCCUCCCCUCCCCUCUUCUGGGCUGUCACAGCAUGAAAACGCAAGCUGGCUGGUGGGUGGUUUUCGUUGUAAACAGUCAGCUCUAAACAAACACCUCAAUUCGUUAAGCAGUCCGCCGAGGGGGAUGAUCCGUUUUGACUCAUGCUGCCUAGGUGGCGGAAAUCCCACUGAAAACUGCGGGAGGAAUUCGGUGAGACUGAACUCCUCAGGUGUCUGCGGCAAUGGGUGGGAAGAGGUCGUGAUUCAUGGCGCGACUGAGAUAAGUGGCUCCCGCCUGUGUGCAUGCCAAGUGGUCCAGAGUCCGCGUGCUGAAGUCAUUCCCCAACAGGAAGUGCCUGGCAGUAAACAGAAAGUACUCCCGGGCACGGCUCCCCGGCUGCGACUCUCGCCCAGUGCUGGAGCGCAGGGCCUCAGUCCGAGCACAGAGACCGGGGAUUGUACAGCAAGAGGCAGAAGACAAAUGGCAUCCUAGCAGGGCAGGAGGCGGCCUCUUGAGCCCAAUGGCUGGAGCUUCGUUGUUUGAGCUACAAAAGGAGACAGUAGGCUGGCAUCCCACAUCUAGUCCCGGCUGCUCCUCUUCCAAUCCAGCUCUCUGCAGUAGCCUGAGAAAGCAGUAGAAGAUGGCCCAAGCACUUGGGCCCCUGCACCAGUCUGGGAAACCUGGAAGAAGCUCUUGGCUUCAGAUCGGCCCAGCUCCAGUCGUUGCAGCCAUUUGGGGAAUGAACCAGUGGAUGGAGGAUAUUUCUCUGUGUUUCUCCCUCUCUGUCUGUAACUCUGCCUCUCAAAUAAAUAAAUAAAA
Oryctolagus cuniculus (rabbit) is the source of this 2857-nucleotide long non-coding RNA. RefSeq lists it as uncharacterized. The record is from RefSeq and is a predicted model, not a curated record. NCBI's taxonomy places the organism in Eukaryota, Metazoa, Chordata, Mammalia, Lagomorpha, Leporidae.